GAUGAACGCUAGCUACAGGCUUAACACAUGCAAGUCGAGGGGAAACGAUAUUGGAAGCUUGCUUCCGAUAGGCGUCGACCGGCGCACGGGUGAGUAACGCGUAUCCAACCUGCCCAUCACUUGGGGAUAACCUUGCGAAAGUAAGACUAAUACCCAAUGACGUCUCUAGAAGACAUCUGAAAGAGAUUAAAGAUUUAUCGGUGAUGGAUGGGGAUGCGUCUGAUUAGCUUGUUGGCGGGGGUUAACGGCCCACCAAGGCGACCGAUCAGUAGGGGUUCUGAGAGGAAGGUCCCCCACAUUGGAACUGAGACACGGUCCAAACUCCUACGGGAGGCAGCAGUGAGGAAUAUUGGUCAAUGGACGAGAGUCUGAACCAGCCAAGUAGCGUGCAGGAAGACGGCCCUAUGGGUUGUAAAC
Molecule: ribosomal RNA, 417 nt
Filed under: uncultured bacterium
Lineage: Bacteria
Description: bacterial SSU rRNA
Rfam family: Bacterial small subunit ribosomal RNA
Source: RNAcentral